RNAcentral lists this ribosomal RNA (499 nucleotides) under uncultured bacterium. Its description in RNAcentral is "bacterial SSU rRNA". It matches the Rfam family "Bacterial small subunit ribosomal RNA", at positions 791 to 1295 of the family's 1533-position model. The record is from RNAcentral.
UAGUCCACGCCGUAAACGAUGGUCACUAGUUGUUGGGGCUUUAUGCCUCAGUGAUUAAGCGAAAGUGAUAAGUGACCCACCUGGGGAGUACGAUCGCAAGAUUGAAACUCAAAGGAAUUGACGGGGGCCCGCACAAGCGGUGGAGCAUGUGGUUUAAUUCGAUGAUAGGCGAGGAACCUUACCAGGGCUUAAAUGUAGAUUGCAUUAGCUAGAGAUAGCUAUUUCUUCGGACUAUCUACAAGGUGCUGCAUGGUUGUCGUCAGCUCGUGCCGUGAGGUGUCAGGUUAAGUCCUAUAACGAGCGCAACCCCUGUUGUUAGUUGCCAGCAUGUAAAGAUGGGAACUCUAACAAGACUGCCGGUGCAAACCGUGAGGAAGGUGGGGAUGACGUCAAAUCAUCACGGCCCUUACGUCCUGGGCUACACACGUGCUACAAUGGUAGGGACAGAGAGCAGCCACUUCGCGAGAAGGAGCGAAUCUAUAAACCCUAUCACAGUUAC